GACGAACGCUGGCGGCGUGCCUAAUACAUGCAAGUCGAACGCUUCUUUCCUCCCGAGUGCUUGCACUCCAUUGGAAAGAGGAGUGGCGGACGGGUGAGUAACACGUGGGUAACCUACCCAUCAGAGGGGGAUAACACUUGGAAACAGGUGCUAAUACCGCAUAACAGUUUAUGCCGCAUGGCAUAAGAGUGAAAGGCGCUUUCGGGUGUCGCUGAUGGAUGGACCCGCGGUGCAUUAGCUAGUUGGUGAGGUAACGGCUCACCAAGGCCACGAUGCAUAGCCGACCUGAGAGGGUGAUCGGCCACACUGGGACUGAGACACGGCCCAGACUCCUACGGGAGGCAGCAGUAGGAAAUCUUCGGCAAUGGACGAAAGUCUGACCGAGCAACGCCGCGUGAGUGAAGAAGGUUUUCGGAUCGUAAAACUCCGUUGUUAGAGAAGAACAAGGACGUUAGUAACUGAACGUCCCCUGACGGUAUCUAACCAGAAAGCCACGGCUAACUACGUG
RNAcentral lists this ribosomal RNA (508 nucleotides) under uncultured bacterium. RNAcentral describes it as "partial 16S ribosomal RNA". It matches the Rfam family "Bacterial small subunit ribosomal RNA", at positions 28 to 507 of the family's 1533-position model. The record is from RNAcentral.